AAUGCGUAAAUGAAGGAUUUAACGCCGACUUCCAAGCCACAACGCUCGUUAAAUGCUUUUUCUGUCAAUGCUGUGUUCGCUGUGAGCUGGUUUGUUUUCAACGAAUUCCCGGUUGCUUGGGGGUUGGUAGGCGGAAGUGACGUAGGUCCGCCCUCACCUAUACUCACAUAUGACCUUGAAGUGCCAUCCCAUUCCUAACCCAUAGGGUUCAAUAUGAUGUCGGUCCACCUUUUGCAGCUAUUACACCUUCAACUCUUCUGGGAAGGCUGUCCACAAGGUUGCGGAGUGUGUUUGUAGGAAUUUUCCACCAUUCUUCCAAAAGCGCUUUGGUGUUCUAUCAGGUUCAGGUCAGGACUCUAUGCCAUACUUGCCAACCCUCCAUGGAUUGGACCAUGAAUUGAUUACGUGGACCCCGACUUCAACAAGUUGAAAAACUUAUUCAGGCAGGUAAUGCUAGCUAGCUCGCUGAGGCAGUGACAGCAGCCAAGACAGAACGAACGGAUGGCAGAAAAAAAUCGAGCGGCAAUGAGUUUGAC
Entelurus aequoreus (snake pipefish) is the source of this 536-nucleotide long non-coding RNA. RefSeq lists it as uncharacterized. The record is from RefSeq and is a predicted model, not a curated record. NCBI's taxonomy places the organism in Eukaryota, Metazoa, Chordata, Actinopteri, Syngnathiformes, Syngnathidae. The transcript is spliced from 3 exons.